CCUGCUCCAUGAGAGUGAAACUAGUUAUUAGUCAUUUUACAAUUCUAAAAAAGAUGAACCAGCCAAAAGAUAAAACUCAGCGAAAAAAAAAGAAAAGAAAAGAAAAGAAAAUGCCUCAAUCUAGGGAACUGAUUAAAAAUGAAAACUAAUAAGAACUUAGGGUGAAUAACUUUUCUGUUUUGCUUUAGAGGAAACAUAUAGUGACCAUGAAGAAGUUGAUUAAAAAUGAUAUUAAUUAUUUCGAUAAUAAAAAAUAAGUUAACUGGAGAAAGGUUGCCCACAUGACUUGUGAGGUCUUAGAAUGAAGCUACUUUCAACAAUCCUUUUCAAUCAUUCUUUCAAGUUAGUAAGCCAUAUCCAUGUUCUUUGUGCCCUUUGACUUUAACAAUCCCAAAUUACUAGAGGUCUUGUUGCAUAUCAAGUACGUCAUCAGAUGGGGCCUCAAAUAGUUAUAACGGUUUGACUGGUCAUAAUAAACUUCUGGAGGUCCAAAUCAAGGUCCAACAAGUACACGAGUACGUAGUAGCCAGAUGUCUGUUUAAUAAAAAGUUAAAACAGGCGGUAAGUCGAUUGGAAAUCAUAGAUCUAGGGAAAAUUUUGACUACGCAAUUAAUGUUCAUAAUGCAUAUACUAAAUUAUAAUUCCUCAUAUUUUUAACAGUACCGAGAAAAUGAACUAGAUUGAAUUACAGUGUAUAUGGAAACACAGGUGAAAGAAAUUUCAUUGUUACUUAUCCCAUCAGUAGGUUUAUGGAUCAAAGUAAAGAAAUAGUUGCGAGAAAUUAAGAUUCUUACAACCACUCACAUAUAAUACACAUUAAGAAGGUAAAUAUCCAAUAAAAUUCUACAAAAUAGAUGAACACAGUCACAGAGCCCCACCACAUACAGACACACAUAUCAAUAGAAAUUAUACUUUUGGACUGGCAGCAUUAGAGCAUUCAAGAAAAAACCAAAAAAAUAAAAUAAAAUAAUAAUAAUAAUAAAAAAAUCCGAAAUAGGAAAAAUAUUACUGCAGGAUUAAGAUACUUAAAAAAUCGAACAAUGUCUAUUUUUCAAUUCUCAGGAACAAGACUAAUAUCUAUAAAAGCUAAUCGGUAUAAUCACAUUAAUUAAAAAAAAUGCAGAUUUCGGCGCAAUUUGAAAUAACAAAACAACACUUUUCCUUCAUACCUAGAGAAGGAAAAAAACCCGCCGGAAGAAGAAGUGCGAACUUGUACCGUAAACUGGUUCGUGUGCUGGAAAACCACAACUGAACCAGUUGCCAGUUGCGACACACUGAUCAAUAAAAUGAAAGAAAGAAGAUGACUGGAUUAAAUGUAUAAUGGGCCCAUCUUCUUAUGGACUAGUCUUGUAAAGGCCCAUGUUUUGGUAUAAGUUUUUAAACUUUCACUUGUAGCAUUACUUUUCUACGCUUAAAGUUCCACGCUCCACAUGACAUCAUUGUGUCAAACUAUUUCUUUACCCAUCUGUAUAGAGAUAUUUAUAAAUAAUAGAUUUCUUUUUUUUUUUUAACUACACAUUUUUCAUAAAAUCACUACUACAAAAUAUAAUAUUUUUCCAAAAACUAAUUAAAAUGGAGCUCAAACAAGGGCUAAUGCUAAAGCAAGAAAACCCCUUUCAUCAGUAUGAUCUUGAGAGCUCUAUAUUUUGUCGAAUUUCAAGAAAUAAAUCGAAUGUUUCAAAUUUAGCAUAGUUAGAGAAUCUCCAAUGAUGAUAUAAAAUAAAUGUAAAUUGACAUAUUCAAAAAAGGGCCAUUUAGAUUCAUUGAAGUUGUGAUGAUUGUUAUGUUUCUUUUUCUCAUUCUGACAGCAAAUGUAGCCACCCCACCUCCGAUGUCAAGCCCUAUUCUUAUUGUGCCAGGCUUCUUUACUGCAAGUACUUCAUCUACGGAGAAGUCGAGGCCCCCACCAUUGCCAGUCCAUCGGGUUUUCUCUCGUCCAGCAAGGUCAAAACAGUCCUUGCAGUCGUCAAAACCUUUCUGAGUAUGCAUACGAUUGAUGAGACAUGAAUAGUUCUUGCAGGUAUGUGCUGUCCAAACAACAGUUGAGUCCGAGGGUGUCAUCCAUAAGCUAUCAGGAAGUGGGUAUGGUUCAAUGUAUUCUUUCUGUGCAGCUGGAUGGCACCGGCGUCGAGGAAGUGGCUCACAUCCCCGGAGGAGAAGCUUUUGUGCUAGAAGCUCGUCGUCCGGGCAGGAUCCAUUGACUUUGUAUGACAUAUACUGGCGAAGCAUAUCAGGGAAAAGUGCACACGGAUGGCCAACUGGAGGGAGGAUUUUGUCGGAAUCAAAAUUUGAGUUAUAACCCAGUGGGAGCUGCUGUGGGGAUGUGAAAGCAAGAAACUCAUCAGGGAGGUCUGCUUCACUUUCCGAUGCAUUGAAUUGUUUGACAAUCUCUACUUUCGGGGUUGGCUUGGGAUCUCUUGGGGCACAAUCAGCAGUUUUCCCAAUGGGUGUGACGGAUUCUACUCGAGUUCCUAGAGAACAUGGAGAAUACAAGUUAGUGGAAAUGAAGAGAGUGAGAAGAUUUGAAGACACAAGCAAGAAAAGAUAGAAGAGGUUAGAAGAGAAAGAUCUUGAACUGCAAGGGGAAUCCAUGGAAAUCUGAUUUGGAUUGCUUAGAGUUGAAGAUGAAGUGUAUUGUGUAUACGAUUAGUUGGGAUUAAAGUCAAAUUACUAAUACAUUAUGUUUUAGUACAUUUAAUCACGCAGAAGCAUAUUUUUUUUAUUUAAGACAAGAGUUGGUAUUGUAGCAGGUAGUGGGAUCUUGAGGAAGGUCAACACUGAGAGAGUGAAGUACAAAUUUCAUAUUCUAUGGAGAAGUGUGAAGUUUUGUGAUUUCGGUUUUGGCGGACUUGUUCACAUGCAUUUUCCAAUUUGUAUGAAUUUAUCAUCUUAAAUUACUUUCUUUAAAAAUUCAUGCGAAGGUUAAAUAGAUAGAGGAAGAAUUUAUUAUAACCAGAUCUGAGUUUGAAUCUAAUUCAGUAUAUUUAAACUCAAAAGAUCAAUAUGCACUUAAUUCAAUGGCAAAGGUUGAUUAAAUUGCAGGAUGCAAAUUCUUAAGACUAAAUUGUGGUAGUUUAGUACAUAGCACUAAGCAUUAAUAAUGGACCAUAUUUUAGUUUCUUUUUAUUGUUUUAUCCAUCUUGCGUUGAGAAUUAGAAACUCUAGUUUUAUAUCACCGAAAAUAAUUAAACUGUAGGAAAAAAAAUAGACACACAAGACAUGCAAAAUUAAUAGAGGUUCGUCCUAAUGUGAAAUUACGUCCUCUUUCGUCGCUGUGGUAACUCAUUAUUUUCUCUUACAUCUCUCUUUUUACAAGAGAAAUUGUACAUUUUAUCAUCUCUUAUACCUCUCUUUUUAAUAAUUAUAAUUAAACCUUAAUGAUGACUCCCUUGAUGAUAUCCAUAAUUUUGCGUACAAGCUCUACGCAAUGACAAUAAUUAAAUUUUACAACUUGACAUCUUGCACUCCCUUAUCCGGCCUCUGGUAAUGUUCAAUGAUAUGCCAAUAGCUAUCCAUUAUUCAAAUCUAUUUAAGGCAUUGUGCUCACUUAUUCUCGAUUCUUCAAUUCAAAAGACAUGUUGAUAUGCAAAAAAUUAUGAUCAAAGCUUCCACGAUUAAAAGAUUGAUAGAAUUCACGAUGAGCUUCAAAAAAUAACGACAAAAACCAAUAUGAAUUCCAAGUGGUCUUUGUAUUAAGCUUGCUGUAGAUUAUUAUUCAUUGUCACAAUGUAGUUUUAGUACUCAUGUUUACUAACAAACUCGAAGCUGAUAAAAAUCCAAUCAUUCCUCCAGAUGAGUUUUCCUAUACCUGUUAAUCAGAAGUAGAAAACACAAAUUAUAGAACAGGGGUUUGCAAAAUCAAAGCAAGAAUGUUCAAAUCCUUACAAGAAGGUACAUGCUAGUUAGUAGUUACAAACUGCAGAACUCCAUUCAUAUGAUCUUUUUCUCAUAAUGUUCACUCUCUUCAUUUCAUCCCACCCACCCACCAACCCCUGCGUUUUGGGUGUAUUUUCUAGCUUCGAAUCUAAAGAAUAUUUAGACACUACAUGUUACAAAUCAAUGUAUAACUGGCUUCAGAGGAUGAGCUCUCAGUAGUGACAAGUCCAAGCUUGCAUCUAGCUCUUCGUCUAGUUCUCCAACGAUGCUACUGCAAGGUAAGGUAAGAAAAAUCAGACUACAGCAUAUAAUUAUAUUAGUCAAACGCAAAAGAAUUAUGAUGUAAAUGAUAUGCAGAUGGCAAAGAAAAAAUAGUACAUGUUGUCUCCUCUGAUGAUGUAGAGACCCAACACAAGUUGCUGUACACCUUCCUACAAUAUAGAACAGGCAUCAAUUGUAUUAUGAGAAAAUCAACCUUAUGGAACAACACAACUGUGUUAAUAUUGAACUAAAAUACAUAUAGGAAAAUAAAAGAUAUAAAAAGAAGAAAUGAUAAGAAUUGAUUAAUAUUCAACUUGAAGGUACAUAUAACACAAAGCUCCUCAACUACAAGAGCAGGGAGGUUAGCAUUUAACGAGUUCCACCCACUCUCUCUACCUUUGAAGCACAGACACUCCUCAGACACAUGCAACACGACGUGUUCUAUUUAUGAUAUACUUAGUAAAAAAUUUCAUGAUGGGCACAUCCUCGAGGCGUGACCUAUAUAUUUUCUGUCUUCAAUUUUUGACAUGCAACGCGCAUUUCCUCAACGUCAUAGGAUGUGUUAUUCACUGAAUUCUUUUCAUUCAGUAAAAUCUAUAUUCAGAGCAGCUUGGACUUUCUAAUAGCGAGCUAUGCUACACAACAUACAUGUUUGAUGCUUGUAGGAGAUUAGGAGCAGACCUUUGUGGAAUACACCCGUUCAUGAGACUCAUCAAGAAUUAUAUUAGUAGCCUGGUCAAAACCUUUCAGAAUUCCCUGCAAGAAGAAUUGGUUAUUUAGUAUAAGAAAAGGGUUCACUACCAAAUAUUCUAUUAUUGCAGCUCAAAACCUAAACGCUUACCACUAUAUUUCGCCCAUCAUUUGUGAUCACUGAGAUUGUUUCUGAGAAUCACAAGGGACCAAAAUUAAAAGCAUAAAAAAGAGAUGUUAUUGGAAGCAAAUUACUUGUCAAGAAAUUCAAGUGUGAAAAGAUAUAGACGGGAUAUUUAAAUUCUUAUAAACUAAAUGAAAGAUGCAGUAUACCCCAGUUCUCUAGAGUUUUAAAAUAAGGUGCCUACAACACCUCACUCAGUUCAGGCCAAGCCAGUAACUUGAUAGGACAGGAAAUAUGAUAACUGGAGGAAGUACUUUGGCCUUAUCGGGGGCAGCCAUGGGGGAUUUUCCGCAAUGGGCCAAAGCCUGAGAGAGCAAUGCCUUGUGGAGGUAGUUGUAAGUUGCUUUUAUAUCAGUCAAUCAAAGAUAUUGUAUCAAAUGGAAUUUACUCACAGCUAUUUAGACUUUGACUGAGAAGAAAUAAAAUAUCUUUAACACUUCAGCUUUGCAGAUCAUAACAUCAAAGACUAUAAUGUAUGAAGAUGCUAUCCCUAACACAGUUUGCCAGCAGGAUGUUACGAAAAAAAAUCUACUUCAGGUUCUUAAGAACUCUUCAAAAUCACCAUUGAGUUCAGGGGGAAGGGGCACAUAAUAAACACUACUCCAUUCAUGUAGUAGAUUAGCAAUAUAAUAUCCAGUUUAUAAACAAUGGUAAUUCCUGAAAAGAACACGCAAACGAGAUAACAUCAUAUAUCAGUCGUGGAUCAGUAUAGGUUUAUGAUUGCAUACGGUCAACAAGAUUCUCAAGUCCAAGCCCACUAGACAUCUUCUGAUCUCCAAUACAAAUAGGCGAUGAUUCUUUUUAAAUUGCUGAUGCUUGGACUUUUGCGAAGCCUGCUCCAUGAGAGUGAAACUAGUUAUUAGUCAUUUUACAAUUCUAAAAAAGAUGAACCAGCCAAAAGAUAAAACUCAGCGAAAAAAAAAGAAAAGAAAAGAAAAGAAAAUGCCUCAAUCUAGGGAACUGAUUAAAAAUGAAAACUAAUAAGAACUUAGGGUGAAUAACUUUUCUGUUUUGCUUUAGAGGAAACAUAUAGUGACCAUGAAGAAGUUGAUUAAAAAUGAUAUUAAUUAUUUCGAUAAUAAAAAAUAAGUUAACUGGAGAAAGGUUGCCCACAUGACUUGUGAGGUCUUAGAAUGAAGCUACUUUCAACAAUCCUUUUCAAUCAUUCUUUCAAGUUAGUAAGCCAUAUCCAUGUUCUUUGUGCCCUUUGACUUUAACAAUCCCAAAUUACUAGAGGUCUUGUUGCAUAUCAAGUACGUCAUCAGAUGGGGCCUCAAAUAGUUAUAACGGUUUGA
This 6306-nucleotide long non-coding RNA is filed under the name Olea europaea (common olive). RNAcentral's name for it is "long non-coding RNA (OEUR_LNC002570)". The record is from RNAcentral. Lineage: Eukaryota; Viridiplantae; Streptophyta; Magnoliopsida; Lamiales; Oleaceae.